GAGUUUGAUCGUGGCUCAGGACGAACGCUGGCGGUAUGCCUAAUACAUGCAAGUCGAGCGCAGGAAGCAGACUGAAGCCUUCGGGUGGAUGUCUGUGGAAUGAGCGGCGGAUGGGUGAGUAUCACGUGGGUAACCUGCCUGUAAGCUUGGGAUAACUCCGGGAAACCGGUGCUAAUACCAGAUAAGAUUUCCGUUCGCAUGAACGGAAAAUGAAAGGCGGCUUUUGCUGUCACUUACAGAUGGACCCGCGUCGCAUUAGCUAGUUGGUGGGGUAAAGGCUCACCAAAGCAACGAUGCGUAGCCGACCUGAGAGGGUGAUCGGCCACACUGGGACUGAGACACGGCCCAGACUCCUACGGGAGGCAGCAGUAGGGAAUCUUCGCAAUGGACGAAAGUCUGACGGAGCAAUACCGCGUGAGUGAUGAAGGUCUUCGGAUCGUAAAACUCUGUUGUUAAGGAAGAACAAGUGCUAAUCUAAUACAUUAGUGCCCUGACGGUACCUAACCAGAAAG
RNAcentral lists this ribosomal RNA (512 nucleotides) under uncultured microorganism. Its description in RNAcentral is "bacterial SSU rRNA". It matches the Rfam family "Bacterial small subunit ribosomal RNA", at positions 9 to 490 of the family's 1533-position model. The record is from RNAcentral.